RNAcentral lists this ribosomal RNA (502 nucleotides) under uncultured bacterium. RNAcentral describes it as "partial 16S ribosomal RNA". It matches the Rfam family "Bacterial small subunit ribosomal RNA", at positions 30 to 523 of the family's 1533-position model. The record is from RNAcentral.
AUUGAACGCUGGCGGCAGGCUUAACACAUGCAAGUCGAGCGGGGUGAUGGUGCUUGCACUAUCACUUAGCGGCGGACGGGUGAGUAAUGCUUAGAAAUCUGCCUAUUAGUGGGGGACAACAUCUCGAAAGGGAUGCUAAUACCGCAUACGUCCUACGGGAGAAAGCAGGGGAUCACUUGUGACCUGCGCUAAUAGAUGAGCCUAAGUCGGAUUAGCUAGUUGGUGGGGUAAAGGCCUACCAAGGCGACGAUCUGUAGCGGGUCUGAGAGGAUGAUCCGCCACACUGGGACUGAGACACGGCCCAGACUCCUACGGGAGGCAGCAGUGGGGAAUAUUGGACAAUGGGGGGAACCCUGAUCCAGCCAUGCCGCGUGUGGGAAGAAGGCCUUAUGGUUGUAAAGCACUUUAAGCGAGGAGGAGGCUCUUUUGGUUAAUACCCAAGAUGAGUGGACGUUACUCGCAGAAUAAGCACCGGCUAACUCUGUGCCAGCCGCCGCCGUAA